RNAcentral lists this long non-coding RNA (1950 nucleotides) under Canis lupus familiaris (dog). RNAcentral's name for it is "lncRNA (ENSCAFG00000041553.2)". Lineage: Eukaryota; Metazoa; Chordata; Mammalia; Carnivora; Canidae. The record is from RNAcentral.
GGGAGAGGGGCCAGCACUGCCCAACAGCACCUCUGGUAAAGCUCUUUCCUUGCCUCGUCGGGACUGGAAGUAUUAGGCUCGUCCCAUGGGAGAAGAAGUGGUCCUCAGGGGCGCUGCGUGAUCGAGGACUCCAAGAGCUCCCCUUUGGGCCACUGAGAUCUGCACCUUGGCCUCCUAAGGUGGUCUGAACAGAUCACCACAGAUGCAGUGGCCUAAAGUCGCAGAAAUGUACUCUCCUGCUAUCCUGGGGGCUACAAGUCUCAAAUCCAGGUGUCAGCAGGGCCACACACUCUUCGAAAUUUCCAUAGGACACUGAGUCUCUUCCAGUUUCUCGGGGCUCCAGGAGGUUCCGGGCUUGUGAUGGCACGACUCCAGUCACACAGCCUUCUCCCCUGUGUCUCUGUGUCCUCUCUUAUUUGUAUAAGGGCUCACCACUGCCUUCAGGGGGAGCUCAUCUCAAGAUCCUUAACUACAUCCGCAAAGACACUUUUCCCCAAAUAAAUUCAGUCACAGGGACUGGAAGUUAGGACACGGUGUUGUCUUUUUAGGGGAUGCCGUUCAGCCCAAUACGAUGUCUUUCCUCCUACUGGGGACCUUGCACGGUCCCUCAAUUUCUCACCACCUCUCAGCUGCCUGGCAGAGGGACUCCUACGGCAUGUUGCCCCACUAGGUUGUUUAGGGAGGAGAUAGGAGGCUAUAGCCACGUGGGGACCUUGCUGUGGGGGUGAGUUGGGGGACUCACCUCCUUUGGAUUCCUGUCCCAGCACCUCCCAGUCUGCCUAUUGCUGUUUCAACAGCACCCUUUGUGCCUCUUUCUCUAACGCCUCUCCACUAUGGGGUACCUAUGGGAGAGAUGCCCUCUAGGAGGACGUGCUCACUGCGCCCUAUGCCCCAGCCUCUCUGCUAAUGCCCGGCCCGACAGCCACCAAGCUGUGAGGAGUGACAAAGCUUUGUAUUCCUUACAGAGAUCUCAGCCGCCCAGGCGACCCCUCCCCAGGUGUGGAUGCGGUCCUCAGAGCAGGAUCGAGGGAACUGAGACUGAGCUGCACUUCCUACCUGAGUGGGGGGCCACCUGUGCACAUGGCCAGCGCUUCCCUGGGUUUCUCCUUCUGCUGUCCCCCUGAGCUCCAUGCACCAGGUGUGGACGCAGCACCUGCUGGAGGUGAGUCAAGCUCUCCAGGAGGAGUGCAGGGGGAUGGGGGGCCUCCUCCACUCAGCCCGGGGUUAUCUGCUCUCAGUCCGAGGCUGCAGCCUCUCCUCCAGGACUAACUGCCUUUAAGGACUGCCCUCCCCACCCCAGCAAAGGCCCACUGCCCCGCUGAACCCGGAGACCCCUCCUCCCCGACCCCCAGCUCUUUCUCAGCCCCCAGGUCCCAGUUGUCUGCAAGCUCCAGGCAAAACCUGGACUCUCUUUCCAGAGCCACAUGCCAACGCACCACCUUUGACACAGCAGUGCCCCACCUGAGAGUCUACCCUAAGGGAAUAACCCUCAAAAACUGAAAAAGCUGGGCGGCCCCGGUGGCUCAGUGGUUUAAGUGCCACCUUCAGCCUGGGGUAUGAUCCUGGAGACCCGGGAUCGAGUCCCGAGUCCCGCGUCAGGCUCCCUGCAUGGAGCCUGCUUCUCCCUCUGCCUGUGUCUCUGCUUCUCUCUCUCUGUUUCUCAUGAAUAAAUAAAUAAAAUCUUAAAACAAAAACUGAAAAAGCUCUUGGAACAAAGUAUUUCUGAAAGCAGGGAACUGGAAGCAGCUGGGGAGCAGCAGCACGCCCAUUGUAAAAGCUAAUUGUGAGCACGAUUGCAACACCGGGAAUCGCUAAAGAUACAGCGUUGAGUGCAAAAUUGCAUUGGGCGGGAGUUCAGCGGUGGAAAAGUUGUAUAUUUGCCCCUACAAGGGCCAGACGGGGAAAAAAAAAAAAGAGAAAAAAAAAAAAGAAAAGAAAACCAGUAUGCCC